RNAcentral lists this ribosomal RNA (216 nucleotides) under uncultured bacterium. RNAcentral describes it as "partial 16S ribosomal RNA". It matches the Rfam family "Bacterial small subunit ribosomal RNA", at positions 1285 to 1500 of the family's 1533-position model. The record is from RNAcentral.
GUCUCAGUUCGGAUUGUAGUCUGCAACUCGACUACAUGAAGCUGGAAUCGCUAGUAAUCGCAGAUCAGAAUGCUGCGGUGAAUACGUUCCCGGGUCUUGUACACACCGCCCGUCACACCAUGGGAGUCGGAAAUGCCCGAAGCCGGUGACCCAACCAAAAGGAGGGAGCCGUCGAAGGCAGGUCUGAUAACUGGGGUGAAGUCGUAACAAGGUAGC